Molecule: small nucleolar RNA, 332 nt
Rfam family: Fungal small nucleolar RNA U3
About the family: Small nucleolar RNAs (snoRNAs) are involved in the processing and modification of rRNA in the nucleolus. There are two main classes of snoRNAs: the box C/D class, and the box H/ACA class.
Source: Rfam
GUCGACGUACUUCAUAGGAUCAUUUCUAUAGGAAUCGUCACUCUUUGACUCUUAAAAUGAGCCAUUGAAUCCAACUUGGUUGAUGAGCCAAAAUACCUUCAUGCCCAAGAGUGAGAACCACAGAAUAAUGUAUUGAAAGUUUAUGCUAGUUUGGUUCCGUAAUCCUUAGCGGUUCGGUCAUCUGGUUUUCUUUACGCUUUUUGUUUUGCUGUUUGCUGUGUUGCUUUUGUAGCACGUUUAAAAUGGCGCGAUGAUCUUGGCCCAGUCUGUGAGCUUCUCUUCGUAGAAGUGACAGUGCUAUCUGGGUGGGUGUGAAUGGCAGUCUGACAAGU